AAGGACUGUGGCUUUUUGGCAAAAGGAAAACUUCAACCCAUCCUGAAAAUAGACGUAUAAUAAAUGAGAUAGAGUCAAGCCCCAGGGAGGUGGAAGCCGGGGUGAAAUCCACCUGAAGGUGUGCAGAGGGCCUGGAGGCUGAGGUUUGGGGUGGUGUCCCACCCUGAGUUUUUCCAGGGUUGUUGUUGACAGGGCCACAACUACAGCAACACGGGUUCCGAGCCGUGUCUGCAACCUGUGCCACAGCACACGGCAACAACGAAUUCUUAACCCACUGAGCAAGGCCAGGGAUUGAACCCUGUCCUCAUGGAUGCUAGUCAGGAUUGCUACACCGGCGCUUCUCUGUCAGGUUCCCACACGCACCAGAGAAGGGCGAGAACAGAAAGCAAAGCUGCGAGUGGCACCUGAGACAAGCGGCUGUCAGCCUCCCCUGCAGAGGGACCGUGGCUUCGGGAGUGACCGGGAGGGAAGCGGCCACGAGAACCAUUUUCCUCAUGGAGCUUCCAGGAAGACACAUCUGUAGCCUGGCCCCUCCGAGCAGCGGCCUGGGGGGCAUCUUCCACUCCGCCUUCGUCUGACGCCUGUGCUGCCUUUCAUUCCAACCAUCGGGCUUUUUCCUGUGUCUCCGGGGCUCGGUCCGAUGCUCAUUCCUGAUAAUCUCUUUCGACGGAGUCCCCGGGCCUAAGGCUUCUCGUGGCUGUUUCUGCGUCUCUCCCUUGUGCUGACUUUUGCUUGCUCGUGUAUUUGCUGACCGCUGAUGCGGACUCAAGGCUUGGUCCCCCCGUGUAAAUCCUGCGGAUUUCGAUGGAAGGUGUGUUCAUCCCGAGAGGAAGAGCAUCCGCUUCGGUCACACCCUGGGGAGUACCUCAGAUUUAGGGACUGUGGUAGGCAGAAUCCUGGCCCCCCAAAUAUUUCCGGCCUCUAAUCCCUGAAACCUAGGACUGUAUGAGCCUUACGUGGUAAAAGGAACACUGCCGAUUUGAUGACGCUGUGGCUGCAGAGGUGGACACAGGGGUGGAGGGUGGAAGCCAGUCAGCAGAGGAGGACUUGGCCGAGCUGCCGGCUCUGGUGGAGGAAGGGUCCCCAGCCAAGAGCGCAGCAGCCUCCAGAGGCGGCACACAGGGAAGAGGGCUGGUUCUCCACGGAGCCUCCAGAAGGGGCGCAGCCCAGCCGACAGAGAGAGAGCCAUUUUGAAUCCUAACCUCCGGACCUGCAGGACGUUUGUGCUGCUUUGCGCCAUGAAGUUUGUGGCUGUAACAGUCGCAGCAGUUGCCCACACAGGGCCUCUGUCUGGGUCCUUCUGGAGAGACUUGACCUCAUCAGGGUCUCCGCUGACUCACAGGUCCUGAGAACACACAAAAGAAGUAAGCAUAAAAGCAAAAUAGGAAUCAAAAGUAAAAAUAAAUCAGAAAACAAAUUUUAGCUUGUAUGGGAAAAUGUCAUUCAAACUAAUAAGCAUCGAAUGAAGUCUCCAAGUUUAAGAAUGGAAGAUUCACCUGGUAGGGAAUAUUUUUAAUAUGUGAAGAACAUCAAACAAUGGUCAACAGGGUUGGUUAUUCUGGAAUGAAAUUGUACUUUAGAGAGUGCCGAGUUGUCUUUUGCGCUUAGUAAGACGGCAGAAUCGCUGCUGUGUUGGAGAUGAAGCUGGUACAUUCACCCAUAAUAUGCAUCAUGUAAAUUAAUGCGAUGCUGCCUACAACCCAUCUAGAAGCAUCUAUCAUGACAGAAACAGCAAACAGACAUGCAUACCGGCAAGUAAAAAAACACCUUUCCUUUAGAAUCCUACUUUUGGGGAUUUAAACUACAGACUUUAUCUAAAAGUAAAAAAAUGGUUAUUGUAGUAUGUGUGCAUAAUAGAUAGCAGUGCAAAAUUUUGGCAUCAACCUUAAUAGUCCACAAAGAAAUUAAAAUCGAAGUGAAUUUCAGGAUGCAGAACUUAAAAUAGUCAUUAUGGACUUUGGCUACAUGGAAACUCUUGAUGUAAAAACAAAAUAUAUACUCAUUUCUCCUUUUUUUCUGCAAUAGAAAAAUGGAAAUCAUUUGGCAUAUUGGGAUAAGCAGCAUCAAUGAACUUGAACAACAAUUAAGUAAACGUCAACUUUUUAAAUGAACUGCUAUUAACUGUGGUGCAUGGAUUGUUACAUUUACUUUAGCUCUUUGUAGCAAAACGCUUUGCAAAUGUCAGGCCUUGUUUCUCCCAACUGCAGGCUGGCCCUGCCCUUCCAGCCCCUCAGUGCAGAUAGCACCCAGCUGGGGGUUCGGCGGCAGCCCCUUGUGUGCAAAACAAAGGCUGCCUACAGAUUUCUACCAAAUGCCAAUGCCUGGGAGUGGGGCUGGCCGUGCCCACAGGUACCCAGGCCAGCCUGUUUCUCCCCAACACCAGGCGCGGCCGUGUGACCCGAUAAGCCGCCACAUGCUGGGCCUCGCUGUCCCUCCGGGUCACGCGGGAGAGCUGGGCGUUUCGUUGUUGUUGUUUUCCUUUCAGCUCAGCUCUGCGGUUCCCCUGGUGUCUGGAGGUAAGUGUUAUCCCUCGGCCACCCUCCCUUCUCCAGUGUGACAGCUACCCACCCCCGGGUCACGCUUCUUGGCUGCCCAUAGAGAGGGGCCUGGAGUUUGUCACAUUCGUUGGUUGUAUUUAGGCUUUUGGAAAUCAUUAACCUAGUUGUGAAUAGACCCAAUUACUGCCGCCGCCUCUGAAAGUGUCUACGUUGGAUCCGUAUGCAUUUAUUUUUUAGCCUUUGGUCUGAGUCACCGUGUUUAUAGGAUGUUUACUGCAUGAUCCGAGAUGGCAGAGGGUCCCUUGGGAGAGUGAGGUUCCCGAACAUGUUCAGGCAAUAGGACCAGGGGCUGUUUCGGUUCUUGUUUGUGAAAAAAUACACGUGCGGAGUUAUGGAGACAUAGUUGGACUAGCUGGCGUCUGGCACAUUCCAAGGGCACGUUCAGGUGUGCAAUCUCCCUGGCUGUCUCAUUACCCAGAAAUGGGAUCUUUUACUGGAAUGAGAACAAGCUCAAACAGUACAAAGUGCAAGCAAACCUCUCCUGAGCUCGAGGUUUUCUCUGGCCUCACACUUAACCAUUGACUGCCAACCCCUCUUCCUCCCCAAAAUCAAAUGUUGUGAAUCCGGGUUGUAGGUGAGUUAUCAGGCACGCCCGUACACUGUGCCAUGCUGGAUUUUCACUUGGGAUUCAGGUGCUUCUCUGAAACUUGGCCUCUUAGAGCUGAAAGGGAAAGGCUAUGAAAAGAAUGUUAAAUUUGCUCCAUGCAGAAACUUGAUAUACAAAUUCUAUUUAAAGAAACGGUUUGAUAAGUAAAUUUGACAUUUUGAACAGUCUUGUUAAUUAAAACCCUUAUACAUUUUC
This 3360-nucleotide long non-coding RNA is filed under the name Sus scrofa (pig). Its description in RNAcentral is "lncRNA (ENSSSCG00050051499.1)". The record is from RNAcentral. Lineage: Eukaryota; Metazoa; Chordata; Mammalia; Artiodactyla; Suidae.